Molecule: ribosomal RNA, 673 nt
Filed under: uncultured equine intestinal eubacterium sp. CW07
Lineage: Bacteria
Description: bacterial SSU rRNA
Rfam family: Bacterial small subunit ribosomal RNA
Source: RNAcentral
GCACAGUAAACGAUGAAUGCUCGCAGUUUGCGAUACAUUGUAAGCUGCCAAGGGAAACCAUUAAGCAUUCCACCUGGGGAGUACGCCGGCAACGGUGAAACUCAAAGGAAUUGACGGGGGCCCGCACAAGCGGAGGAACAUGUGGUUUAAUUCGAUGAUACGCGAGGAACCUUACCCGGGCUUGAACUGGAGAGGACGGUUAGCAGAGACGCUUUCCUUCUUCGGACCUCUUCAGAGGUGCUGCAUGGUUGUCGUCAGCUCGUGCCGUGAGGUGUCGGCUUAAGUGCCAUAACGAGCGCAACCCUUCUCCUCGUUUGCCAUCAGGUAGAGCUGGGCACUCCGGGGACACUGCCAUCGCAAGAUGUGAGGAAGGUGGGGAUGACGUCAAAUCAGCACGGCCCUUACGUCCGGGGCUACACACGUGUUACAAUGGUCGGUACAGAGGGCAGCCACCCCGCGAGGGGGAGCUAAUCCUAAAAACCGGUCUCAGUUCGGAUUGGAGUCUGCAACCCGACUCCAUGAAGCUGGAUUCGCUAGUAAUCGCGCAUCAGCCAUGGCGCGGUGAAUACGUUCCCGGGCCUUGUACACACCGCCCGUCAAGCCAUGAAAGCCGGGGGUGCCUGAAAGCCGUGACCGCAAGGGUCGGCCUAGGGUAAAACUGGUGAUUGGGGCU